Molecule: ribosomal RNA, 204 nt
Filed under: uncultured Desulfomicrobium sp.
Lineage: Bacteria; Pseudomonadati; Thermodesulfobacteriota; Desulfovibrionia; Desulfovibrionales; Desulfomicrobiaceae
Description: partial 16S ribosomal RNA
Rfam family: Bacterial small subunit ribosomal RNA
Source: RNAcentral
AUGACGUCAAGUCAUCAUGGCCCUUACGCCUAGGGCUACACACGUACUACAAUGGUGGGUACAAAGGGCAGCAAAACCGCGAGGUCGAGCGAAUCUCAAAAAACCCAUCAUAGUCCGGAUUGCAGUCUGCAACUCGACUGCAUGAAGUUGGAAUCGCUAGUAAUCCCGGAUCAGCAUGCCGGGGUGAAUGCGUUCCCGGGCCUU